RNAcentral lists this ribosomal RNA (461 nucleotides) under uncultured bacterium. RNAcentral's name for it is "bacterial SSU rRNA". It matches the Rfam family "Bacterial small subunit ribosomal RNA", at positions 335 to 788 of the family's 1533-position model. The record is from RNAcentral.
ACUCCUACGGGAGGCAGCAGUAGGGAAUCUUCCACAAUGGGCGCAAGCCUGAUGGAGCAGCACCGCGUGAGUGAAGAAGGGUUUCGGCUCGUAAAGCUCUGUUGUUAAAGAAGAACACGUAUGAGAGUAACUGUUCAUACGUUGACGGUAUUUAACCAGAAAGUCACGGCUAACUACGUGCCAGCAGCCGCGGUAAUACGUAGGUGGCAAGCGUUAUCCGGAUUUAUUGGGCGUAAAGAGAGUGCAGGCGGUUUUCUAAGUCUGAUGUGAAAGCCUUCGGCUUAACCGGAGAAGUGCAUCGGAAACUGGAUAACUUGAGUGCAGAAGAGGGUAGUGGAACUCCAUGUGUAGCGGUGGAAUGCGUAGAUAUAUGGAAGAACACCAGUGGCGAAGGCGGCUACCUGGUCUGCAACUGACGCUGAGACUCGAAAGCAUGGGUAGCGAACAGGAUUAGAUACCCU